GACGAACGCUGGCGGCGUGCCUAAUACAUGCAAGUAGAACGCACAGUUUAUACCGUAGCUUGCUACACCAUAAACUGUGAGUUGCGAACGGGUGAGUAACGCGUAGGUAACCUGCCUGGUAGCGGGGGAUAACUAUUGGAAACGAUAGCUAAUACCGCAUAAUAUUGAUUAUUGCAUGAUAAUUGAUUGAAAGAUGCUAUUGCAUCACUACCAGAUGGACCUGCGUUGUAUUAGCUAGUAGGGGAGGUAACGGCUCACCCAGGCGACGAUACAUAGCCGACCGGGAGGGGUUGUCGGGCAACAUGGGAACGAGACCCGGGCCAGAAUCCUACGGGGAGCAGCAGUAGGGAAUUUUCGGCAAUGGACGAAAGUCUGACCGAGCAACGCCGCGUGAGUGAAGAAGGUUUUCGGAUCGUAAAGCUCUGUUGUAAGAGAAGAACGGGUGUGAGAGUGGAAAGUUCACACUGUGACGGUAUCUUACCAGAAAGGGACGGCUAACUACGUG
RNAcentral lists this ribosomal RNA (505 nucleotides) under uncultured bacterium. RNAcentral's name for it is "partial 16S ribosomal RNA". It matches the Rfam family "Bacterial small subunit ribosomal RNA", at positions 28 to 507 of the family's 1533-position model. The record is from RNAcentral.